UCCCAGGCUAGGGGUUGAAUCAGAGCUAUAGCUGCUGGCCUACAAUGCAGCCAUGGCAAUGCAGAAUCUGAGCUGUGUCUGUGUCCUACACCACAGCUCAGGGCAAUGCAGGAUCCUUAACCCAUUGAACGAGGUCAGGGACAGAACCCUCAACCUCAUAGAUACUAGUCGGCUUCGUUACCACUGAGCCAUGACGGAAACUCCCUUACCAUCUUUUAAAAGGCUUCUUGAAAUAAGAGGCUGCAUUGCUCCUUGCCAUAUCUGUGUGGGAAGGGCUCAAUAAACAUCUAUCAAGUGAAUGGAUAAACUUCAUGAGAGCAAAAUAUGAUGCCAGCACCAAGGUCCUUGACUCAGGAGCUGUCCAAACAGUUGUGUGGAUGCUGAAAGACCAGGCUGCCAUGGGUAAAGGGUGUGGACCAAGGGACUUAAUGCCCCUGCCAAGAGGAAGAGUCUAUGAUGUUAUGAUGAUUCUGUACCAAGUAAGUCUUCUUUCUCAUUACUUUUUUUAAAGACUAGAAAUUAACAAUGUUUAAAAAGACCAUAUAGUAAAUUCAAAAGUGAACGGGUGGUAUUAUUUUGCCUUCUCUUUCUUAGCAGACAUCAAAACACUUCGGUUACCUAUUGUUUUGUGUUAUGGUGACAGAGGUCACUGACUGAUGAAGAUCUAAACCAGCCUUGUGCUCUAGACAUGUACACCUGGUCUCUGUUCCUCAGCAGAUGGCCUCUGAUUUUUUUUUUUUUUUAACCAUGACUACUACACCAAGCAGUUAGAAGAAACAGGAUGAUGACAAGAACAAUUUUUUCUCUCCUUUGUGCAAUUUUUAACAGGAAGCUAUUCAUGUUUAAGGCUUUUAAAAAUACUAAGUCUUAACGGUGAGUGUGUGAAAGAAAAUCACUUCAUAGUUUCUGGCAUGGUUGGCGGCAUUAAAAGAGCUCUGGAUGUUGAAUGACAUCACAGUUUUAAACCUUCCUGAGAGACUGUUAUUUCCUCACUAAUUCCCCUUAAGCAAAAUAUUUAAGAUCAGUAUGAAGUUAAGAGAUUCCAGCUUUUUCUUCUGAGGAUUACCUUUCAUGGAAAUGAUAAAAUGGAAAAAUAAUUACUCCCCAAAAUCCAAUAAAAAAGCCAAAUCCUCCUAGAAAAUCCAGAGAUAGCAUUACCCUUCGGUACCCUCCACUUAUCAGGGGGGAGAGAAAGAAAACUUCCCUAGAUCCAUUCAAAUACAAAAACAUUCUUCGCGACAUUGAAUUUUAUAAAAUCCCAUUGUUAAAUACUUCCUCUCAAACUCCUGCCAAAUGGGAGGAUUACUGCUGAAACAGACAAGGAAUAUGUGACCUCCUCCUCCUCCCCUGAUGAACAUCAGGGUUACACUUUGGCCCAUGUACAGAUCUAUUUUCUACAAAGGAUGCAGCUUUUCAGAGAUGUGAAGGAUCUGGAAUAAGAACACUGGCCCUCAUCAACCCACUUCCUCUAUUGGAAGGGAGUCUCCCAAAUAGUCCUCAAAAGGAAACGCUGGGAUGAAGUCACCCAGGUUUAUAAAGUAACAGUAGCCGGAUGAUGGGAUCGUCUGAAAAGUGAUGCAAGGCACAGCGGUCAGACCCAAAGUUCACGGGGACUUUUCAUAAUGCAAUUUUAGAUAAAUAUUUGCACAGAUGUACACACAUAUUUAUUUGUUUUGCUUCAACUGGACUCAUCCGAGUGCUGUUUUUUUAAAAUAUAAACAGUGGGAAACUGCCAUAGUAAUGACUAGUCAAAGACAGCAAUUAUUUGCAAGAGCUAAAAGUGUUCAUUUAAUAAAAAGUAGGAAGCUGUGUGGGAGAAAAAGGAGUGAAAUUCUCUAGUAAGUGAGGCCAGUUGGAAUUUAAUAAUUCACUUUGGCUAUCAUAUUUGUUUGGUCAGCAGGCCAGCAUUUUUGCUGGGCUGCGCAGUGCCAGGGAUGGUCUUCACCUAAAACACCCAGCGUGUUAAGAGAGGGACUGUUUCUAGCCAAGCUGAAUAAAUACUACCACCUCAGCCCUGGAUAUAUACUGUUCAUUACAUAUCUCUGAGCAUAUGCGAAAAGUCCCGAAAGGAUUCUCGUUAGUUCAACCAUUAAUCUGGCUGAGAUGUCAUCAGAUUAUUUGAAAGUGUGUUAGGAAGCAGUGUUUCAGCAGUGGCCUAUGUGUCAGCAGAGAGAUAUGCUCCUAUUAUACAAUAUAAGACAGUCUCCAGACUAUAUUUUUAACAUCUCCUUAGUAAUAUAAACAGAGAUCAGGACAUGGAAAGCUCUCUUUUUAUGAAGCAAUGUUUUUAACUCUUCAAGAAUAUUUUCCUCAGCACUCUUCAUUGAAAUUGACUUUCUUCUUUCAAAGGUGAAGAGAUGCAAGAAGUGGAGUGAUUAUAGAGUGUGUAUAUGCUGCUAUAGUAAUCAAAGUGGAUCACUUUGUAACUGAUGCUCAGAAUACUAUAAUUACGCCAACAGCUCAAAUUUAUAAAAAAAACUUGCCACCUAUGGAAGGUCCAUAAGGGAGGCCGGAAUGCAAAGAAAUGGAAAGUCUAAGAAUAUGCAGCUGCCCAUAUGUCUGCAUUCAUCUACUCACACAAAUAUCUUUGCUUCCUGUGCUUUUUCAUGGGUUCUCUUGUGUUUGACUCUUAAACAUAAUUUAGUUAGCUGAAUUAACACUUCACCAGAAUGAACUCUGCAUUAGUUAGCUGCGGUCACCUAGAGGCCACAGACCUGGUUUUUCAUGGAGCAGAUGGUCAGAUACUGCCUAGCAGAUAUUUAUCCUAUGGUAAAUAUAUGACAGACAUGUUAGUGAAAGGUAAUCUACAUAUUCUUUCAGGGGAGGAGAAUUAGGUGUCUGGACAGAGAAACUUCAUGAAGAAGCAGUCGGUCAUAACCCUGUGCAAUUAGAGUCUCAGGUACUUAGAGAAGCCAGCAGCCUGCACCUCAGACAGCUGGAGGGCAACCUGGUGGUCCCAGGAUGGGAAGUGCCUUCCUGGUGGCACCUGGGGAGCUGGCCUUUUUAUAGAGUGUACAAGAGGCAAGGGAUCGCCUAGGAGAAAUGGCUGAGGAAGACACGAAGCGCAAGUUUGAAUUUAGGGCAAUAGCAGAUUGAGAGAUGGAAAAAUCCUCAAACUUGUACUAAAAGACCUGAUCAAGGAGCCCCAAUACUGACAGGGGGUGUGGAGUGGGGGGGAGGAGAAAAUCAGCCAGAGUCAGUUCCCUCAGCCACAGGCAUCUGUGGACUUGGUCAAGGCCCACCCUCCCCACCCCCACGCUGGAAGACUGAAAGUCAGCAUUGGGGCACAAUCAAUUUGAUGGAUAGGAAUUUUUCUUCCAAAAAAAAAAAAAUUUAGAAAAUGGUGAUGUGUUUUCCUCUAGCAGUUCUUCUAGUCCUUGCUGAAGAGAGCACCUGUGAUGUAGAAAAAUAACAUCCUAUGACAGCUACCUUUGUCAAAAUAGCCUCUCCUUGUGCACACCUGCAGAGCCAGACUUCAGGGUCUCCUGGGCUAGGGACGGCUCAGGCCAUCGUGAUCUGAAGCAUCCUGGGGCUGGAGAGGACACCAAGACGGCAGGAGACAAGGGCAGCAUUAGACAGCCCUCUUUGAACAGAAUAUAUAAUUUCAUUUAACAGCUGCGGAAGCUCAUUAACUACGCUGGCAUGAAUGAGUCUUCACGACAAAAAGAAAGAAAAACGGCAGCCUAUUUACAGAUGCAGCAGAGCCGGCUCUUGUUUUCUAGCUUUCAAGGGAAACAAAACAUUUCUGCAUAAUAACUUGAUCCUAUAAUUCGACACUAUUUCAGAGCCGAGCUUGCCACACACUUAAAGAGAUACUUGUUUUUGCACAUUUUCAGAACCUCUGCAGUGUUCCAGCCCAGUUUCCAACUGGCGAGCUGGUGACCAGCGCCCUCCUGACUCAAGCCGCCGCCCUACUCCUUCUGGUCCUAAGUUUGAGGAAAGUAUAGCCCAGAUACCUUCCACAAGUCUCCCAGCUUAAAUUGGCCCUUCUUCCUUAUGCAAUAGCCGGCACCUUUUAUUUUUACGUUAGGUUCCCUGCCGCUAACUGAAUGACCUUGAGCAGGUCACUUAGCCUUGCUGUGCCUCAGUUUCUUCCUCUGUAAUGGCACUGACCUCACAGUGCUCCUGUGAGCAUUACACUGUCAGUACGAAGCACCUAAAACAAUGCCCAGCACAGAGCACACUAUAAACAAAUAUCAGGCUGUAUUUCAUUAUUACAACAGCUACUUAAGGCGUCAUUCAGCACUAUUACUUAUUUCACAUACAUAUUGUCAACUCCAAAAUUGUUGGAGAGCACAUACUAGCAUCUAGGAGGAGCAGGGGGCAUGCUAGAGCCUCUUCUCUCCCUCCUCCGUAUCCCUCAUCUGCCCAGACAUAAGCACAAGGGAGAUGCUGUAUGGCCCCACCCCGGACACACAGAGGAGGGAUGAGGCUGUUGCAGGUCACUGGGCUCAGCCGAAGAUGCACUGGAAACGGGGCCAUAGUAUUUGCCUCAUUGGGAAAAACUUUCUUACUCCCAAGAGUAGGCAGUAAGAGGUGCUCUGGAAGAGGUCCCUGUUUUUAUUUCUCUUUCAUGUUCUCAGAUAGUCUUCCCUCUCCAGAAUCUCUGGUACUAGAAUGGCCCCAUAGGGGGCUGCAGUCGAAAAUCCAUUUGUAAGUUUUGAUUCCCCCCAAACGUAAUAACUAAUAACCUUACUGAUAACAGUUAAUUAACACAUAUUUUGCAUGUUACAUGUGUUAUAUACUGUAUCCUUACAAUAAAGUAAGUUUAAAGGAAAUACUAUUAUGAAAAGCAUGAGAAAAUAUAUUUACAGUGCUGUAUUGUUUUUAUUGAUACUGUAAAUUUGUAUCAACUGUUUAUAAGAUGAAUCAUCUGUCAGUAUCAACAUCAAUAUUAUAUGACACCAAACACUGUAGAUGUUACAUGUAUUACUAACACUAGACAUCAAAAAUGAAAAGAUAAUGUGAAAAAGAAAUUUGUAUUUAUUUACAGGUAUAAAGAUUCACACAUUGGUAACAAAGAAGUAGCAAUAUGAUUGCUGUGUGGUAGCCUUGUGUAAUUGAUGCAACUGCCUCAGGGUAGCCUAGCUUAUACACUAAUGAAUGCAUCAUCAUUAAAACUUUUACAGUUGCAGUAUUCCAGUCAUAUUAAUAAUACAGUAUUGGAAACUUAAAAAAAAAAUACUGAUGACAAGCUGACAUGCAGUUUCUCCAUGCUGUACAGUAAUGUAAUUCUUUGAAAGCAGAAUAACAAAGCAGUAAGAAAAUGAACACAUUGGAAACUUUAUAUUAAAUAUCACUCAUCUUAAGCUUGCUAAGGACAGGCUGUCCACUUCAGUACAAGUCUUGCACACGAUGGGUGACACAAUCAACGAUGGUGAGAACACACAGACGUCUGUGCAUUCAUUGCUGUACGAUUCUUGGGUUUUCACACCAAGACACUCAUACACUCACACCAGUUAAGUUUAUCAACUGUACAGUACAACGACUAUUGAUGAUUGAGUACGUGGAAGUGCGUCAUCCUUGUUGUCUGCACAUUGAGUAGACUGAGGAAAGGCAGGGGAUGGCUUGUCUCAGGGUUGGCAGAAGAUGGAAGGGGAACCAGGAGAGGCAGGCACACUUGGUGUCACUUUAUGUAAACACAUCAUGACAUUUGACUUUUUUGCUUUACAUUUCUCUAAAAAUUUUUCUGACCAGUACUGAUCCUUCUUCCACUGUUCUCUUGGGUUUCAGUGCCCAUAUCAUGGAAGGCCCUACUUUGGAAAAGUAGUCAAAAGCAGUCCUGAAUCAUCAGAACCCUCUACCGGACUAUUAAGUUUGUUUCUAGCACUGGUUGGGAUGCUCUCAUCUCCAUCAGGUUAUGCUCUGUUGAUUCUUCUGGUGUUUGUCUAUUAGUUCUUGAAUUUCUCCGAGAUCCUUAUUUUGAAACCCUUUGCCUUUUUUUUUUUUUUUAAAACCAUAUCUACAAUCUCUUUUCUGAUUUCCUUGAUUGGGUCUGUGGUAAAUCCUGUGAAGUCAUGCACAAUAUCUGGACAGUAUUCUCUUGUAGGGAUGAAUUGUUUGGAGCUUGAUGGCUUUCACGGCUUUUUCUGUAACAACAAUGGCAUCUUCACUGGUGUAAUCCUCCCAGACUUUAAGGAGGGUUGGGGUUCUCUAACAUCUAGUUGACUAUCCUUUCCAUAGACUGCUGUGUGCAACGAGCCUUAAACCUCCGUAUGAUCCCCUGAUCCAGGGGUUGAAUUAUUGACAUUGUACUUGGGGGCUUGCCAAGAUCACUUUGACACCUUCAGUGUUGAACUCAUGGGGUUCUCGGUGGCUGGGGGUAUUGCCCAAUAUGAAAGAACCUUUAAAGGUAGUCCCUUGCUGGCAAGGUACUGCCUGACUUCAUGGACAAAGCACAAAUGGAACCAAUCCAGAAAGUGUUCUUGUCCAGGCCCUCUUGAUGUACAACCAAAAGACGACAGCUGAUGUUUGUCUUCUCCUUUUAAGGCUCAGAGGUCAGCAGCUUUAUAGAUAAGGGCAUCCCUGAUCAUAAACCCAACUGCAUUUGCAUUAAACAGUAGAGUCAGCCUAUCCCUUCCCGCCUUAAAUCCUGGUGCUCACUUCUCUUCCUUACUAAUAAAUGUCCUUUGCGUUUUUUGUUUUUCCCAGAAUAGGGCACCUUUGUCUGUAUUAAAACCCUGUUCAGGUAGAUGUCCUUUGUCCUCAGUGGUUUUCCUAUGAUGUCUGGGAACCUGUCUGCUACCUCUUGGUCAACAGAAGCUGCUUCUCCUGUUAUUUUAACACUUUUUAAAGCCAAACUUCAUUCUCAAGUUAUCAAACCAUCUUUGGCUGGCUUCAAAUUCUCCAACUUUAAAUCCUUCACCUUCCUUUUGCUUUAAGUUGUGGUAUAUGACUUUGCCUUUUUUGGAUAUUAGAGUCUAUAAGCAUGCCUUUCUUACAGUGAUCCUAUGCUCUCAGAAAAGAUGCAUUUCCAAUGUAAUAAAAUGGUGCUGGUGUAGCUGUAGUGGGAACUACACCAAUUU
Molecule: long non-coding RNA, 7025 nt
Filed under: Sus scrofa (pig)
Lineage: Eukaryota; Metazoa; Chordata; Mammalia; Artiodactyla; Suidae
Description: lncRNA (ENSSSCG00030048570.1)
Source: RNAcentral